GACUCAGAUCCACAAUAUCAACGACAAUCCCAAUUCGAACAUUUCGUCGAACACCUAGCAUGCGUUAUGCUGGGAUUUGCUUCUUCUCACACUCACAAGAAUCCUUUCUUCCAAUCUGCACACAUGAACAUAUAUAUUUCAGCACUUACUCACAUAUGCACAACAUAAUCCGCAGCAAGGGACAUAGGCUCACCUACAAAAGAUGGGGAGGGUGCCGACCAUGGAAAAACAGAGGGGCUGCCUUGAGAACUUAGGGCAGGGGCGAGCUCGGCUAGGGCUGGGGGAAAACAGAGCAAGGGCAGCCAGGGAGAGGGGCUGGGGCGAGCUAGGGCUGGGCACAGAAGGAGGGCGAGCUUGGCAUGGAGAGGGGCUGCAAUAAGAACAGCAAGGAAGGGGGCAGAGGGCGGUCAUGGCAGAGGCGAGCUCCAUGGAGGGAGGGGCGUCAGCCACCAAGAAGGGGAGGGCGCCAUGGGAACGAGGGAGGAGAUGGUGAGCAGAGGGGGGGGGCGAGCUGCAGCACCCAAGAGAGGGCGUGCGGCGGUGGGAAGAUGCUAGGGAGAGGAGCGACGGUGGGAAGAUGCCAGGG
This 586-nucleotide long non-coding RNA is filed under the name Zea mays. RNAcentral describes it as "long non-coding RNA (ZMAY_LNC000914)". The record is from RNAcentral. Lineage: Eukaryota; Viridiplantae; Streptophyta; Magnoliopsida; Poales; Poaceae.